GUGCCAGCCGCCGCGGUAAGACGAACCGUGCGAACGUUAUUCGGAAUCACUGGGCUUAAAGCGCGUGCAGGCGGGCCGGCACGUCGGUCGCUGAAAUCCCCCGGCUCAACCGGGGAACGGGCGCCGAUACGACCGGCCUGGAGGGGGGUAGGGGGAGCCGGAACUCACGGUGGAGCGGUGAAAUGCGUUGAGAUCGUGAGGAACGCCCGUGGCGAAAGCGGGCUCCUGGACCUUGCCUGACGCUGAGACGCGAAAGCCAGGGGAGCGAACGGGAUUAGAUACCCCCGUAGUCC
RNAcentral lists this ribosomal RNA (293 nucleotides) under uncultured bacterium. RNAcentral's name for it is "partial 16S ribosomal RNA". It matches the Rfam family "Bacterial small subunit ribosomal RNA", at positions 505 to 796 of the family's 1533-position model. The record is from RNAcentral.